CCUACGGGAGGCAGCAGUGAGGAAUAUUGGUCAAUGGCCGGAAGGCUGAACCAGCCAAGUCGCGUGAGGGACGACUGCCCUAUGGGUUGUAAACCUCUUUUAUAUGGGAAGAAUGAGUGCUACGUGUAGCAUGAUGUCUGUACCUUAUGAAUAAGCAUCGGCUAACUCCGUGCCAGCAGCCGCGGUAAUACGGAGGAUGCGAGCGUUAUCCGGAUUUAUUGGGUUUAAAGGGUGCGUAGGUGGUUUAUUAAGUCAGCGGUUAAAACUUGUGGCUCAAACUUGAAAUUGCCGUUAAAACUGGUAGACUUGAGUAUAGAUGAGGUAGGCGGAAUGCGUGGAGUAGCGGUGAAAUGCAUAGAUAUCACGUAGAACUCCGAUAGCGAAGGCAGCUUACUAGACUACAACUGACGCUGAAGCACGAGAGCGUGGGUAGCGAACAGGAUUAGAUACCCCUGUAGUC
Molecule: ribosomal RNA, 460 nt
Filed under: uncultured bacterium
Lineage: Bacteria
Description: partial 16S ribosomal RNA
Rfam family: Bacterial small subunit ribosomal RNA
Source: RNAcentral